This 555-nucleotide ribosomal RNA is filed under the name uncultured archaeon. RNAcentral's name for it is "bacterial SSU rRNA". It matches the Rfam family "Archaeal small subunit ribosomal RNA", at positions 326 to 882 of the family's 1478-position model. The record is from RNAcentral.
CGGGGUGCACCAGGCGCGAAAACUUUACAAUGCGGGAAACCGUGAUAAGGGGACACCGAGUGCCAGCAUCAUAUGCUGGCUGUCCGGGUGUGUAAAAUACACCCGUUAGCAAGGGCCGGGCAAGACCGGUGCCAGCCGCCGCGGUAACACCGGCGGCCCGAGUGGUGAUCGUGAUUAUUGGGUCUAAAGGGUCCGUAGCCGGUUUGGUCAGUCCUCCGGGAAAUCUGACGGCUCAACCGUUAGGCUUUCGGGGGAUACUGCCAGGCUUGGAACCGGGAGAGGUAAGAGGUACUACAGGGGUAGGAGUGAAAUCUUGUAAUCCCUGUGAGACCACCUGUGGCGAAGGCGUCUUACCAGAACGGGUUCGACGGUGAGGGACGAAAGCUGGGGGCACGAACCGGAUUAGAUACCCGGGUAGUCCCAGCCGUAAACGAUGCUCGCUAGGUGUCAGGCAUGGCGCGACCGCGUCUGGUGCCGCAGGGAAGCCGUGAAGCGAGCCACCUGGGAAGUACGGCCGCAAGGCUGAAACUUAAAGGAAUUGGCGGCGAGCACAAG